UACAGGGGGGGCAAGCGUUGUUCGGAAUUACUGGGCGUAAAGGGCUCGUAGGCGGCCAACUAAGUCAUACGUGAAAUCCCUCGGCUUAACCGGGGAACUGCGUCUGAUACUGGAUGGCUUGAGAUUGGGAGAGGGAUGCGGAAUUCCAGGUGUAGCGGUGAAAUGCGUAGAUAUCUGGAGGAACACCGGUGGCGAAGGCGGCAUCCUGGACCAACACUGACGCUGAGGAGCGAAAGCCAGGGGAGCAAACGGG
This 253-nucleotide ribosomal RNA is filed under the name uncultured bacterium. Its description in RNAcentral is "partial 16S ribosomal RNA". It matches the Rfam family "Bacterial small subunit ribosomal RNA", at positions 524 to 776 of the family's 1533-position model. The record is from RNAcentral.